GCGCCAGCAGGGCUUUGGCUGAGGAGAACACUUUAAUCCCCGGGGAAAGGUGCCCUGAAGGCGCCGGAGGAGCAGAGCUCAGGGGACAGGGAGCAGCGCAGCGAGGAGCUCCGUUUGGAAGGCCCCGGGAUGGUUCCUCUCUGCUCCCCGCCGUGCCGGCCGCUGCUGGCAGUGCCUGUGGCAGCCCGUCUAGAACUAGUGUGCUCUUGGAGAGAAGAGCAUCCUGAAGAUCUGUCUGGGACAGGGAUGUCUUCAGGGACCUGUGGAGACAACCUCUGCUCAAUCACCUAGUGAGGAACUCUUCAGGAGUUGCAGGUAUGUAUCCUGCCAAAGGUGUGGCCUCACACUCUGUACAGUUGCAUGCUAAAGACUGAGGAUGCCUUUGAAGACAUUUCCAGGUCUGACUUCGGCUUCUGCACAAGGAAAAACCUCAGGAGAAGUUUUUGGGGUGUGACUUCAGAGAUGGAUUUGUAUACAGUCAAUAACUGAGGCACCC
Molecule: long non-coding RNA, 496 nt
Filed under: Taeniopygia guttata (zebra finch)
Lineage: Eukaryota; Metazoa; Chordata; Aves; Passeriformes; Estrildidae
Description: lncRNA (ENSTGUG00000019367.1)
Source: RNAcentral